CCACCAGGAACAACGCACAGAGACAGGGGUCGCGGGAUGGGAUGGUUGUCUGGAAUGAGACAAAAAGGAAACAGGGAUGACUCUUGGAGAGGGGAACUGGCAAACCAAGAUGACCGGUCUCCAUACCCCUGAACCUCUCUCUCUCCAAGACCCAACCAAUGGGAAUCAUUUUCACCAGUAAUAUUGUACGACCUGUUCUGAAAUCUUCAAAUGAAGCAAGCUGUUCAAGUGGAGUCUCA
Long non-coding RNA from Ornithorhynchus anatinus (platypus), 239 nucleotides. RefSeq lists it as uncharacterized. Lineage: Eukaryota; Metazoa; Chordata; Mammalia; Monotremata; Ornithorhynchidae. The record is from RefSeq and is a predicted model, not a curated record. The transcript has 2 exons.